This 871-nucleotide ribosomal RNA is filed under the name uncultured Bacteroidota bacterium. Its description in RNAcentral is "bacterial SSU rRNA". It matches the Rfam family "Bacterial small subunit ribosomal RNA", at positions 45 to 916 of the family's 1533-position model. The record is from RNAcentral. Lineage: Bacteria; Pseudomonadati; Bacteroidota.
GGCCUAAUACAUGCAAGUCGAACGGAUAUAGGGACUUCGGUUUCUAUAUUAGUGGCGCACGGGUGCGUAACGCGUAUGCAACCUACCUUUUAUUGGGGGAUAGCCCGGAGAAAUCCGGAUUAAUACCGCAUAACAUCACGAGAGGGCAUCUGAUUGUGAUGAAAGCUGAGGCGAUAAAAGAUGGGCAUGCGUGCCAUUAGCUAGUUGGUUGGGGUAACGGCCCACCAAGGCGACGAUGGCUAGGGGUUCUGAGAGGAUGAUCCCCCACACUGGUACUGAGAUACGGACCAGACUCCUACGGGAGGCAGCAGUAGGGAAUAUUGGGCAAUGGUCGGAAGACUGACCCAGCCAUGCCGCGUGCAGGAAGAAGGCCUUCUGGGUUGUAAACUGCUUUUAUCUGGGAAGAAAAAACUCUUGCGAGAGGAACUGACGGUACCAGAGGAAUAAGCACCGGCUAACUCCGUGCCAGCAGCCGCGGUAAUACGGAGGGUGCAAGCGUUGUCCGGAUUUAUUGGGUUUAAAGGGUGCGUAGGCGGCUUGAUAAGUCCGUGGUGAAAGCCAACAGCUCAACUGUUGAACUGCCAUGGAUACUGUCGGGCUUGAGUACAGACGAGGUAGGCGGAAUUGAUGGUGUAGCGGUGAAAUGCAUAGAUACCAUCAAGAACACCGAUUGCGAAGGCAGCUUACUAGGCUGUAACUGACGCUGAGGCACGAAAGCGUGGGGAGCGAACAGGAUUAGAUACCCUGGUAGUCCACGCUGUAAACGAUGAUGACUCGAUGUGGGCGAUACACAGUCCGCGUCUUAGCGAAAGCGUUAAGUCAUCCACCUGGGGAGUACGCCCGCAAGGGUGAAACUCAAAUGAAUUGACGG